CAUUCCAUGCUUUUAAGGAUCAUUUCUUAAGUAUGUGUCGCAACAGUAUCCGAUUCUAUUGAUCAACAACAUCAUGAUGAUGGGAGAUUGUAUUGAGUCCUGAGUGUGAAACAGGUUUUUCUUUAUCAUUUGUUCCUCGCUGUUAACAAUUGUGAGAAAUCCACUGAGGAUCAUUCUAGAGAGAUUUAAUAACUCCUUAAAGAGGGACUCAAUACUUUCUGAGUCUU
Molecule: small nucleolar RNA, 227 nt
Organism: Octopus sinensis (East Asian common octopus)
Lineage: Eukaryota; Metazoa; Mollusca; Cephalopoda; Octopoda; Octopodidae
Product: small nucleolar RNA U3
Exons: 1
Source: RefSeq, a predicted model, not a curated record